This 415-nucleotide ribosomal RNA is filed under the name uncultured bacterium. Its description in RNAcentral is "bacterial SSU rRNA". It matches the Rfam family "Bacterial small subunit ribosomal RNA", at positions 8 to 408 of the family's 1533-position model. The record is from RNAcentral.
AGAGUUUGAUCCUGGCUCAGAACGAACGCUGGCGGCGUGCUUAACACAUGCAAGUCGAACGCGAACGGUAUCUUCGGAUACCUAGUAGAGUGGCGCACGGGUGAGUAACGCGUAAAUAAUCUACCCUGAUGUCUGGGAUAACCAGCCGAAAGGCUGACUAAUACCGGCUAUAUGUUUCCCUGUUGGGGGAACCAGGAAAGGUGGCCUCUAUUUAUAAGCUAUCGCAUUGGGAUGAGUUUGCGUACCAUUAGCCAGUUGGUAGGGUAAAGGCCUACCAAGGCAACGAUGGUUAGCGGGUCUGAGAGGAUGAUCCGCCACACUGGAACUGGAACACGGACCAGACUCCUACGGGAGGCAGCAGUGAGGAAUAUUGCGCAAUGGGGGCAACCCUGACGCAGCGACGCCGCGUGGAUGA